UACGGAGGGUGCAAGCGUUAUCCGGAUUUACUGGGUUUAAAGGGUCCGUAGGUGGCCUGCUAAGUCAGUGGUGAAAUACUACAGCUUAACUGUGGAACUGCCAUAGAUACUGGUGGGCUUGAGUUCGGUUGAAGUGGGCGGAAUACAUCAUGUAGUGGUGAAAUACUUAGAUAUGAUGUAGAACACCGAUUGCGAAGGCAGCUCACUAAGCCGACACUGACACUGAGGGACGAAAGCAUGGGGAUCAAACAGG
RNAcentral lists this ribosomal RNA (253 nucleotides) under uncultured bacterium. RNAcentral describes it as "partial 16S ribosomal RNA". It matches the Rfam family "Bacterial small subunit ribosomal RNA", at positions 524 to 776 of the family's 1533-position model. The record is from RNAcentral.